CCCUUAGAUGUCCUGGGCUGCACGCGCGCUACACUGGAAGUUACGGAUUGAGAUACUACCUUGUCCGAAAUGGUCCGGGUAAUCACCUAAAAGCUUGUCCUAAUUGGAAUGGAUUAUUGUAACUAGUAAUCCUGAACGAGGAAUUCCUAGUAAGUCCCAGUCAACAGCUGGUACUGAUUACGUCCCUGCCCUUUGUACACACCGCCCGUCGCUACUACUGAUUGGACGUUUAAGCAAGAUUUUUAAACACUGACAGUGUGUAGUUCACGCUAUACUACAGUGAGAAGAAGAAGAUCGAGCUUACUUGUCUAGAGGAAGUAAAAGUCGUAACA
This 332-nucleotide ribosomal RNA is filed under the name uncultured eukaryote. Its description in RNAcentral is "partial 18S ribosomal RNA". It matches the Rfam family "Eukaryotic small subunit ribosomal RNA", at positions 1470 to 1796 of the family's 1831-position model. The record is from RNAcentral.